This 1562-nucleotide ribosomal RNA is filed under the name Marinobacter nauticus. Its description in RNAcentral is "Marinobacter hydrocarbonoclasticus partial 16S ribosomal RNA". It matches the Rfam family "Bacterial small subunit ribosomal RNA". The record is from RNAcentral. Lineage: Bacteria; Pseudomonadati; Pseudomonadota; Gammaproteobacteria; Pseudomonadales; Marinobacteraceae.
AACAUGCAAGUCGAGCGGUAACAGAGCCAAGCUUGCUGCCCGCUGACGAGCGGCGGACGGGUGAGUAAUGCUUAGGAAUCUGCCCGGUAGUGGGGGAUAACCCGGGGAAACCCGGAUUAAUACCGCAUACGUCCUACGGGAGAAAGCGGGGUUUGCCUUCUCGCGUUUACCUUGCGAUUGAGCCAUAAGUCGAAUAAGGACUAUGCUAGAUGGAGGGGAUAAGGCCUCACAGGACGAUCCCGGUAGUCUGGACUUAGACGAAGAGGAUGAUUUCAGCCACAUUCGAGACUGGAGAACCCAACCCCAACUCUCUUACCGGGAGGGCAGGCAAAGAUGGGGAAUAUUUGGAACAAUUGACCCUGACCCUGGAUCCACCCCAUGCCGCGAGGUGUGUGAACACAAGGCUCUCUGGGUGUGUAAGUCAACUUUCAAAAGAGGAGAAAAACCCUUAUGGCGUAUAUACCCAUGAAGCUAGACCUUAACAUAAGCAGGAAAGAAGCUCCGGCUAACUCCGUGCCCAGCACGCCGCGGUAUAUACGGAGGGUGCAAAUCGUUAAUUAUCGAAUUACUGGGCGUAAAGCGCGCGUGUGGUGUGUUUGGGUAUGCGAAAUGUGAAAAAGCCUCGGCCGUUACACCUGGGUCCGGAAGCACAUCCGAAAUGACAGACUAGAGAGUGAAAGAGAGGAAGUCGCAGAAUUCCUGUGUAAAUGCUGAAAUGAGUAGAGAUAUGAAGAACGAUCACCACAUGCCGAAAGCGGCUACCUGGACCAACACUGACACUUGAGAUGUGAGAGAGCUGAAGCGUGAACAGGAUACAGAUAUUAUGAUAUCCCGGUACGCCCCACACGCAUGUAAAAGAUAUCAACUACCCGUCUAGGACUCUUGAAGUGCUUAAUGUAACGCAGAUAACGCACUAACGUUGACCCCGACGGCGGAGUACGCCCGCAAGGUUAAAACUCAAAACAAUUAUGACGGGGCGCCGCACCCCCAAGCGGACCAUGGGAGCAUGUGGUUUAAUACGACGCAACGCGAAGCAGACUCUCCUGACAUCUUGACAUCUCAGAGAACUUAUCCACAGAGGGAUUGCCUGCUGCAUCCAGGAACUCUGAGACAGCAGUGCUGCACAUCCGCUCGUUCAGUCUCGAAUGUUGAGAUGAUUGGGCUUAAGUCACGUAAAGAGCGCAACCCCUAUCUGCCUGCUGCUAUGCACGGUAAUGCUGUAAAGAUACUCCAGGCGAGACUGACAGCGAAAAACCGGAGGGAAGGACGGCAUGAACGUCAGGUCAUCAUGGACCCUACGGCCACGCGUACUACACGUGUUACAGAUGACACGUAGCAGAGGGGGUCCAACUCCGCAAGAGUUCCCAAUCCCUAUAAAACCCCCGAAUUACUGUCCAUAUGAGUGUGCAACUCUAGUCCGUGAAGUGUGGGUAUCUAGUGUUCUCGAAUCAGAAUGUCGCGGUGAAUACGUUUUCCGGGCCUUGUACACACACCCCGUCACCACCAGGAAGGAUUGCACCAGAAGUAGUUAGUCUAACCUUCAAGAGGACGAUCAGCCAUCG